Molecule: transfer RNA, 65 nt
Filed under: Psylliodes fusiformis
Lineage: Eukaryota; Metazoa; Arthropoda; Insecta; Coleoptera; Chrysomelidae
Description: tRNA-Asp
Source: RNAcentral
AAAAAUUUAGUUAAAUAUAUAACAUUAGUUUGUCAAACUAAAAUUAUUAUUAUUAAUAAUUUUUG